GGAUGAGCCGAUUAAUCGGUAAAUAAUCGGCAAAGCCGAUUAAUCGGCCGUUACUUGAAUAAUCGGUAAUCGGCCGAUUAUUGCUUGAUAAUCGGCAAAUAAUCGUCCAUAAGACUUGUUCUGCAGCUGCCAAGCACAUGCUAAAAUACUGAAUACAAACAAAUAGAUUUUCAUAUUUUAUUGCAAAACCUGUGUCUUUUGUCUCGAGCAAAGUAAAGCUGGAAAACGCAGCAGACUAGCUCCUCAUAGCUGAAAAUAUCCUGUUUUUACACCAUAAUCUGCCAAAACUAAACUCAAUGACUAUUGACAUGCAAGAUUGAAGCUGUUUUCAAUUGUACAUAAUGUGUAUUGUAAACAAUAAAACCGCAUUUACAACUUCAUUGUUGGUCAUCUUGUGAUUUUUCGCUUGCUUUUAAAAUAAUCGGCGGGUACCGAUUAAUCGGCUGAUUAGUUACGAUAAUCGCCUUAUAAAUAACCAGCCUCAGUAAUCGGCAAUUUUCCUUAUCGGCUCAUCUAUGGCUCAUCCCUAC
This is a non-coding RNA of Paramuricea clavata, 530 nucleotides long. Lineage: Eukaryota; Metazoa; Cnidaria; Anthozoa; Malacalcyonacea; Plexauridae. The record is from the annotation of a GenBank genome assembly.